GACGAACGCUGGCGGCGUGCUUAACACAUGCAAGUCGAACGGAAAGGCCCUGCUUUGUGGGGUGCUCGAGUGGCGAACGGGUGAGUAACACGUGAGUAACCUGCCCUUGACUUUGGGAUAACUUCAGGAAACUGGGGCUAAUACCGGAUAGGAGCUCCUGCUGCAUGGUGGGGGUUGGAAAGUUUCGGCGGUUGGGGAUGGACUCGCGGCUUAUCAGCUUGUUGGUGGGGUAGUGGCUUACCAAGGCUUUGACGGGUAGCCGGCCUGAGAGGGUGACCGGCCACAUUGGGACUGAGAUACGGCCCAGACUCCUACGGGAGGCAGCAGUGGGGAAUAUUGCACAAUGGGCGGAAGCCUGAUGCAGCAACGCCGCGUGCGGGAUGACGGCCUUCGGGUUGUAAACCGCUUUCGCCUGUGACGAAGCAUGAGUGACGGUAAUGGGUAAAGAAGCACCGGCUAACUACGUG
Molecule: ribosomal RNA, 467 nt
Filed under: uncultured bacterium
Lineage: Bacteria
Description: partial 16S ribosomal RNA
Rfam family: Bacterial small subunit ribosomal RNA
Source: RNAcentral